RNAcentral lists this ribosomal RNA (553 nucleotides) under uncultured Burkholderia sp. RNAcentral's name for it is "bacterial SSU rRNA". It matches the Rfam family "Bacterial small subunit ribosomal RNA", at positions 50 to 596 of the family's 1533-position model. Lineage: Bacteria; Pseudomonadati; Pseudomonadota; Betaproteobacteria; Burkholderiales; Burkholderiaceae. The record is from RNAcentral.
UACACAUGCAAGUCGAACGGCAGCACGGGUGCUUGCACCUGGUGGCGAGUGGCGAACGGGUGAGUAAUACAUCGGAACAUGUCCUGUAGUGGGGGAUAGCCCGGCGAAAGCCGGAUUAAUACCGCAUACGAUCUACGGAUGAAAGCGGGGGACCUUCGGGCCUCGCGCUAUAGGGUUGGCCGAUGGCUGAUUAGCUAGUUGGUGGGGUAAAGGCCUACCAAGGCGACGAUCAGUAGCUGGUCUGAGAGGACGACCAGCCACACCGGGACUGAGACACGGCCCAGACUCCUACGGGAGGCAGCAGUGGGGAAUUUUGGACAAUGGGCGAAAGCCUGAUCCAGCAAUGCCGCGUGUGUGAAGAAGGCCUUCGGGUUGUAAAGCACUUUUGUCCGGAAAGAAAUCCCUGGCUCUAAUACAGCCGGGGGAUGACGGUACCGGAAGAAUAAGCACCGGCUAACUACGUGCCAGCAGCCGCGGUAAUACGUAGGGUGCAAGCGUUAAUCGGAAUUACUGGGCGUAAAGCGUGCGCAGGCGGUUUGCUGAGACCGAUGUG